RNAcentral lists this ribosomal RNA (484 nucleotides) under uncultured bacterium. Its description in RNAcentral is "partial 16S ribosomal RNA". It matches the Rfam family "Bacterial small subunit ribosomal RNA", at positions 30 to 507 of the family's 1533-position model. The record is from RNAcentral.
AUUGAACGCUGGCGGAAUGCUUUACACAUGCAAGUCGAGCGGCAGCGCGGCCUUCGGGCUGGCGGCGAGCGGCGAACGGGUGAGUAAUGCAUCGGAACAUGCCCAGUCGUGGGGGAUAACACUUCGAAAGAAGUGCUAAUACCGCAUACGUCCUGAGGGGGAAAGCGGGGGAUCGCAAGACCUCGCGCGAUUGGAGUGGCCGAUGUCAGAUUAGCUAGUUGGUGGGGUAAAGGCCUACCAAGGCGACGAUCUGUAGCUGAUCUGAGAGGAUGAUCAGCCACACUGGGACUGAGACACGGCCCAGACUCCUACGGGAGGCAGCAGUGGGGAAUUUUGGACAAUGGGGGCAACCCUGAUCCAGCCAUUCCGCGUGAGUGAAGAAGGCCUUCGGGUUGUAAAGCUCUUUCGGCAGGAACGAAACGGUGGGCUCUAACAUAGUCCGCUAAUGACGGUACCUGAAGAAGAAGCACCGGCUAACUACGUG